Molecule: long non-coding RNA, 1209 nt
Organism: Stomoxys calcitrans (stable fly)
Lineage: Eukaryota; Metazoa; Arthropoda; Insecta; Diptera; Muscidae
Exons: 2
Source: RefSeq, a predicted model, not a curated record
UCAUGGGAUUAUACCGAAAUUGGAUGUAUAUCGCCAAUAUUUGACAUUGAUUCUACUUCAGUGGCAAAUUAACCCACCAUUCUAAACUUUAAUGAACUUGAAUAACAAAUCGACUACACGAAAUAAAGUAAAAAAUCGUUUGCCACUGUUCCUAAUGGAACGUUGAUUGGCAAUCUUGUAUUUGAGAAUAAAAUCAUAACUGUACCAAGUUUCAACACAAUCGAAAUAUAUGUGGAAACGGUAACCGUUCAAUAUUCAGGCCCCAAGAGUCGAUAUUUUCCCUUAGUUUUCCCGAAGAGUCGGGUGUCGGAAUAGCAAUUAAAAUUCGGGAUAAUCCCGAUCAUCUGCCAAGCCUAUAGUCACCAACCCAUUCCAAAGUUUAGAAAAUGCUGAAUCGAUGCAGAACGUUGUGGCAAUCAAGAAACCUAGAUUGCCGAAAACGUACCCCAUGACGUUCGCCAUUUUAUAAUGUAUUCGUGAUUUUGAUUAACGCUCUCAGUGUACAAGAACGUGCAUAUUCUAUUUGACAUACCUUCGCGUUGCCUAUUUGUGUUUUACUUAUUUUGUAGAGGGCAACGUUUUUAUUUUGUAUUGCUUUGAGCGACUAUAAUACAAUAUGUUGUUCGUAACUUACCUGUAAAGAGAAAAAAGAGAAUACGACAAAUAUUAAAAAUGGGGAAAAGGAAGCAAGCAACUAUUUCGAUUCUAUUGUUUUGAUGCUUUGCGGUGCAGAGCAGCGCAGCGCAGCACAGUGAGUACAGAGUGGUGAUCAGCUGAUUGUGAGUCGAUCUUUUUGAAUGUUUAGUGGUGAGAACGGGUUUUUGGUUGCUUAUUUAAAGAAUACAUCUGUUCGUUUUUGUUUUCUAAAAAUCCACUGACACUUCCUACCCAUGCACACACAGAAUUUCCCCCCAAGUGCAUAGUUGUCGGACAACACAUUGAAUAAUUUUGUAUUGUAUGAAAUGGGGUUUAAGUUUUUUUCUGGGCUAUGAUCAAUGAUAGCAACGAAUAUCAUACCUAACCUAUUAGCUUUUGUUGUAAUCAAUUUGCCAUAUGACGGUGGUGGAGUGACGACUGACUUUGAAAAUGAUAACCAAAACCGCGACGAACGAAUACAAUGAUGGAAAUCAUAAUAAUUGCCACAAACAUAUGUAUGAAUACUCAUAAAUAAAUAUGUAUGUAUACCUAUCUCCACUUUGAUAAAAAAUA